RNAcentral lists this long non-coding RNA (7060 nucleotides) under Brassica napus (rape). RNAcentral describes it as "long non-coding RNA (BNAP_LNC008514)". Lineage: Eukaryota; Viridiplantae; Streptophyta; Magnoliopsida; Brassicales; Brassicaceae. The record is from RNAcentral.
UGGAAGAACUCAAGAUUCAAAACAGCUACCGACUUCCCCCACCAGUCUAGUGGAGUCUCUGGCUCCAUAUUCGCACCCGAAAACGUAUAAUCGAGCUUUAAUAGACCCGAGGUGAGCUGCUCUUUGCAGGCGUUGUUGGCGAUUGCUAUGACCAAACGGUUCACCAAGUUGAGAUCUUCAGAGACUGGUGUAAGGGCUUCACAGUGAUGUAGAACGAGUAUGGAGUUAGAGAUACUUGGGAGGACCGUUUCUUUGAAGUAAUGUUCUGUUUUGAUAGCGAGAUUGUCCUCUGAGAAGUCCUCAGCCAUCUCUAGGUAAUGAGAUGCACAACGAAGCUUAGCUACGUUGAGAAGGUUGAUCUCAAUGUUGAUUCCAUAGCAGAACUUAGCUGCUAGCUCAAAGGCCUCAGAUCCUCCAGGAACACUCGAGAGACAUAUGUUGAAGGUUUUGGAAUCUGUAAGAAGCUUCCUGAUCUUUCCACUCCGAGAAACAAGAGGAAACUGAGAACACCAAACCAACAAGCAAAAAAAGUUCAAAACUAUAUAACUCAAGAAACAGAGGAUCCUCUGUUUUGGUAUAGAUGCUCUGUUUUUAGGUUUUGUGUUUGCUUAUUUUUACCUUAUGAAGACAGAAACUUGAAGAUCCAACUUGAACUGUAAGAUCACUAGAGACUUCAGAUAUUGGCCUGCAAGAACACAUAAACAAACCCAUUAAGAUUCUGAAGAUUUUUCAAUAAUGAUUUUCUGAAUUAUUGAAGCAAAAGAUCUGUGUGGACUUGAAUUUGAUGAUCAUGUAAGAGCUGCUUGUGUCUUCCAUGACUCCAACGCUAAGAUUCUAGGAUAAGGAAACAGUAAAAUCUAUCAUCUAAAAUAGUGUGUGUGUUUUCCUUGGUUUUGAGGCCAUUUUUAGAUUCACAGUUGAGACAUGUAAAAGGUUAUGUCAACAUCAAACUUUUCAAAUGAAGACAGAACCAAAUGAAGUGUGAUUGUACGGAUAUGUUCCACAUAGAUACAAAAUAGGAUGGAGAAAUUAUUGGUUUUUGAUGAACAGUGAGAGAUUGUGACAAUAAAUGACUUGUGGCUACAGAGAUUCACAUCACAUACAAAAAGAUUUGGAUCUUUAUUAGCUAAAUUUUUCAUGGGAAAGAACAAAUCUCUUAUUCGUUUUUCUGACAUGUUUCUAGUGAAUGCAGACAAAACUAAAAUGGUAAUCAUAAAUUACAAUACUAUAUAUAUUACCAUUCAGAGGCAUGUCUGAUGCUUGAGUUCAGACGAAACCCUCUCUUUCCUGUGAAAGUUGGCUUCACUUCUCCUACUGUAGAAAGUCCCAUCUCUCUCUCUUCACAGAAGAAGAAGAAGAAGAGCUCUUGUGGUUGUUAUUACAAGGAGUGUACGUAGUUAAUGAUGCAAAAAGGUACAGAAAAAAAGAGUUUUGAUAUCUUUGGUUAAUUAAUCUGUUAAUUACGUGUAAAGCUGAGGUCAUUAUUAUGAUACAUGAAAUUAAGUUAGUGAAAACAAAUGCAUGUAUAUACAUUAAUUGCUACUAGUGUUCUUUGAUGUAUGAGAUGCAUUUCAAUCUCAUUAUUAUGGGCUAAGGCAUCUAUUUUUCUCUUGUUGAUCCUGUGGUAAUUGUAAUGAUUACUUAUAAUUUCAUGAUUAUGUCCACUCUUGGUUGCCUUCAACUAACCGAAAUUAAUUUUUCAUUUUACAUUCUCUGCUCAAAAAAUUAUUGAUAAACUAUUUAAAACCUAUUUACAAACAAUACCAUACUGAAACGAUUUUUAACAGCAAAAAGUUAACACUAAAUUAUUUUAUUGCAUAGUGUUUUAUCUACUAAUGUGAUAAUAUCCAGUGGUGGUUUUUUUUUUGUAAUGCAAAAUUCUAUUUAUAAAUUUUAUAAGAGGAUAUGUAUUGUGUCAUGUGAAUUAUUUGGCGAGACCAAGCUUUAAGCUCACUCCAUGCUUUAAUUUUUGAAUAUGUAUUGUUUAAUGUGUGGUCCAAAAAAAUGUUAGAUGAUUUCUUGCUUUGGUUAUGAAAAUGAAAGAAAUAAAGAAUUAGAAAAGCUGUAGUGAUUCCUAGUGAUUACACCGAUUGAGAUUUAUACUUAGCUUUAAGGCUGUGUUAAUGUGUUAUGUAAUGAUGUUAGGCUGAUCGAUUAAUCUCGAGCCCCUCGAAACAUAAUAUAUAAUUUUAUGGUAAUUAUGAAAAAUUAAUCUAUUGUUGGAUUAGUUACAUUACGUAUGAAUAUAUGAUAAGCUUUUUGUGAGUUUGAUUGUGCAAGGUUGACCAAUAGAUUAGUGAUAAAAAAAAAUUAUCACAAGAUAUAGUGGUAUUAAAAAAAAAACAGUUUACCAAACAAAACAGUGAUUUUUUUAGUACUAAUUGUUGGCUAAGAUUGGUUGGUUCUGUCAGAAUGUAUAAUAGUCCAUCGAAAAUGUAAAGCUGUUAAAAGAUUUGGACUCAAAUGCAAACAAAAAAAAAACAAAUUUUGUGACGGCGCGUCAGGCUCCGAGCAUUAUCUGAUCCUCUUCUUCCUCCUCGGUUCGCGUAUUCGAAUCUCUUCAACGGGAGCUCCAAGCUUCUAAUGGAAAAUUAGGGCUUUUCAAUUUCUUUUUGAGUUUCCGUUGCGAUGGUUGAGAGACGGAGUCCUCUGGUGCUCUCAUCCACCAGAGCCACACUCCGUUCAGUCCUGAAUUCGUUUCGACCCGACGAGAUUCCGGGAAGACCCGAUUCGAUACGGCGGAGCGUUAGGUUGCCAGCUGGCGUGCUCAGAUGGAAACGAGACGGAGUAAAUGAUUCAAAGUUUGAUUCUUUAGAUGACUCUUCACUGGUCGGACUCUCGACUCAAUUGCUCAAGAGACUAUCCAUCAACUCUGGCUCUUUCGUAAGUCUUUAGUGUAAAAAAAUGGAUCUUUUAUUGUAAAAAUGGGUGCUUUAUUGUAAAAAUGGAUGCUUUAUUGUGAGUUUUGAUGUUAACAUUUGAGUAUUUUUAUAUUGCAAGGUUGUUAUCAACAACAUCGACAUAGGCAUUCAACGGGUUGCGCAAGUUGUUGUACUUGAUCCUCCCAAUAAGACGCUGGAAGAUUCAUCUGUCACUAGCUUACCAGUUUCGGACUCUCUUCACACAAUGCUUGUCUUUCCCACUUUUGAUACGAUGAGUCAACAGUUACUAGACCAAGAGGUUGCUUACUUGUCUCCUAUGUUAGCUUUUAAUCUUAGCUUGCACAUGUCUUGCCUGAAGUCCCUAGUACAUCGAGGGAACGAGGUCUUGGAGAAGUACUUUGUUGCUAAAUUCGAUGAAGAGUCGGCGUCGGUGGCGGGUGAGUCAAAGAUUGGUUUGGAUUUGGAACCUGUGUCCGAAGUUCCAGGGUAUGCGUCACAUCUAAGGGUUUCUUUUGUAAAGAUCCCGGAGUGUGGUACCAUUCAGUCAUUGGUAGUUAGUUCCUCGUUUGAAGAUGAAGAGAGACAAGGGUUGAUAGAUUCCGCAUUGAACAAGUAUUUUGGAACUGAUAGAGUACUCUCAAGAGGCGAUGUGUUUCGAGUUUGCACUGAGUGGAACUGUGGUUCAAGCAUUUGUGUUCAAUGUGGUCAAGGGUUAGGCUCCAAAGAAGAGGACUUUAUCUAUUUCAAGGUUGUUGCGAUGGAACCUUCUGAUGAGAGGUUUCUUCGAGUCCAUCACUCACAAACCGCUCCUCUUCAAGUAAGGAACCAACUAGGUUCGGUGCUCAGAAGAGCCGGAGCUAUAUGGAUUUAAGAGGCGCCUUAAUCGCAAUUAAGCGCGUAAUGUUUUUACUUAUAUAUUUCUAGUAUAGAAUAUGAUCAGUGUUUGAAACAUACUAUAUCUAGUGUUAAAAUAAAAAGAUUAUUGUCGUUUUUUCUAAAAAAAUACAUAAAAUGAAAAAUAAUUCGAUUCAAUUCGCUUGUGUAAUGCAAUAGCAAUUGUUAAGAAAUAAAAUCGUCUUUAAGUUUCAAAAAAAAAAAGAAAAGAUCGUCUUUGCAUAGUAAGUACUUACCUGGAAACAUAUAACUGGAAGAAAGAAUCUAAAUACAUUAUUGAAAAGUUGAUACAAGUCAAUAGCAUUGACCAAAAAAAAUAUAGUUAUUUUUGGGUAAAAUAUAUUUUUAACGCCGUCAGCAAAAUACUAAACCUUAAACCAUUGGAUAAUCCAUAAAACUUGGAUAAAUCCUAAACCCUAAAUCAAAAACAAUAAACAUUAAAUCUUGAAAACACUUAACACUUAGACCCUUGGAUUUAGUAUUUUUAAGAUUUAAUGUUUAGUCUUUUUGAUUUAGGAUUUAGAAUUUGUCCAAGAAUUUAAGGUUUAUCCAAGGGUUUAGGCUUUAUCCAAGGGUUUAGAGUUUAAGAUUUAAUGUUUUGACGAUGGUGUUAAAAAUAUUUUUAAAAAUAACUUCUUUUUUUGUAACUAGUACUAUUUUUAUUUAUUUUUACUUUAUUAUUUUUAAAUCAUGAUAAAAUUGAUAAUAUUUUAUUUUCUUUUUUAAAAAAUACUAAAUAUGAAAUAAUUAAUCUCUAUUAGUCGGUGAACUCUAGGAAGUGAACCCAAGAAUAACUCAAAAAAUAAAAUACAAGUCAAUAGCAAAGACUGGACAAAACACGAUCGCUCACAUUUCACAAACACACACUAUAUAUAGCUAUACAUACACACACUAUCACAAAUCAAACUCCCCAACCAAAAAAUAAUAAUUAUUCACUAUGCAAAUAAAUCAAAAUAUUGAAGUUUGAAGACUCUUGUUUUUUAAAUCAAGAAACCGAGUGUCGUCUUUUUCUCUGAAACAAGAAACGGCUCUCAGUACUUGCCUUUCCCUUCAAAGAAGGUUUAAGACUAGCGAAGCUGAAAAGAGAAUUGAGUUUGCUUAUCUUUUUAGCAAAAGACUUGAAAAGCUUAGUCCCUGGAUUAGUUUUAACGAGUUCUUGUCUAAUAGAGAUGUGAUCUUUCUCUAGAUCCGUUAAUCUCAUCCUCAUCCUCGCCACUUCAAGCUUUAACUCUCUGUUUUCUCUCCUCACUGACGCAUAGUUAUCUCUUGGUGAUAUCGCUCCACUUCCUUGUGAUCCAAGCCAACCAAACAAACAACCAUGAAUUAGCAUAGACGAAUAAAGGCUAAAUCAUACUAUAUACUCCCUCUAUUUAUCAAAGAAAGUCAUUUUUGAAACAUUUAAGGCGGAUUAAAAAAAAUACAAAAUACACUAAUAUUUUUAUUUAAUUUACGAUUAAUUAAAUGGUAAUAAUUUAAUUAAAAAUCUAUUGGUCAUUUAAAAGAGAAAAAUAGAUUUAAUAUGUAAAAUCACAUUGGAAAUGUAUUAAAAAAAUGAUAGUUUUUGUGAAACAUGAGUAUAGAAAGACUAUACAUUAUACAAUGCUGAGGGGUUAUGAAGUAAAAUUACCUGCUCCACUUCCUCCCCGUUGGGGAAACUGAUGACAGUUACCACUGAAUAGAAACUGAGUAGGACUAAUGCUACUGCUCAUUGCGUUUCUGAGUCUAAUCUGCUCAAAGUACAACACUUGUACCGCCAUUUGCACUGGUAACCUCUCGUUUUGCGCUGCAUGGCUACAAGCUUCUUGUGACAGUUUCUGUGAAUCUAUCGUCUUACAAAGUCGGUAGCGCUCUGAAUCCUUUAUAUUCGGAUGUACCUAUCAAAAAUAAAUAAAACCAAUAUUCAAAAUAUCUUUAGACAUAACUAAACGUUUCGAUACUAGGUGUAUUCCUCCGAUUAUAAGUAGGACCUAGUCGUAAACAAAUUAGAUGUUUUAAUUUUAAGUUUAAUUAUAAAAUUAUUUUGAUGAAUUAUAAAAUUUAUAUAUACACAAAAUAAUAAAUUAGAUAAACUUGUGCAUUUAAAUUACAUUUAUUGGUUGGUUUGAUAUAUUUAGACAUAUUUAGAUGUGCACAAAAAGACCAAUGUAGAUUAAUUAAAACAUAUUAAACUAAUUUUAACCGGUUUUGAACGGUUUAAACCGUGGUGAGGCGCAUUAAUAAGAAAAUCGUUUCAGUUACAACCGACUUAAGUGGCCUCAACCCAUUUAUAAAACAUUAAAUAAAACAAUAUGUGAACUGGCUAAUUUAUAAAAUGAGAGAAAGGUUCAAGAGGUUUUUACUUUGAGGUAAAUGUCAACGGCUCGAUAAAGACCAUCACUGAUGAUACGAGCAUGAUCUGGCAAGAGCUCAGCUAAAGCUAUGAACUUCGACGUUGUUAGAUUCGUAUCCAAAGCUAUCUCCGCUAGAUAGUUAUCCAUCAGCUUCGAUACUUUCAAGAUCGAGCUCUGUUUUGGAGAUCCAGGACUGUCGAAAUCGAAAAUCAUCUCUGUUUCAUCACCAAACCGGUUACGAUGAUGUCGAUCUUCUUCUUCAUCAUCGUCUUCUUCGUCUAGAUUCAAGAAUAUAGAGAAGAUUCUCAAGAUAGAAUCAAUGUCGUACAUCGUGUUGUUGACUCCGUUAGGGCUUGUCGGAAUCAAGACAUCUUCGAGGAUGGCUUGGUCUAGCUGAAGACCGAUCCUUCGCUCUAAAUCUGAUCGACAUGAUCUUAUAGAAGCAGAGGAUGAUGAUGUUGCGAUAACCAUUUUGAGAAGACUUGAAAGAAACGCUAUUGGAACAGAGCUUUUUCUUCCUUGCGUGGGAAGUAACCUAACGAUUGUUUCUACAAUCAUUCUCUGUUUCUUCUUUGCUUCUGAAUCGAUAACCCUUUCUUUGUCAAGCUUUGUAUCCCUAACUAUUAGCCCUUGAAGUGACUUAUUCGUGUAACUGAUGAGAAUCUUGCUGAUCACGUCUUGUCUUAACCCUUUUGACCUAACCGCAGAGACAACUCUCUGGAAGAACUCAAGAUUCAAAACAGCUACCGACUUCCCCCACCAGUCUAGUGGAGUCUCUGGCUCCAUAUUCGCACCCGAAAACGUAUAAUCGAGCUUUAAUAGACCCGAGGUGAGCUGCUCUUUGCAGGCGUUGUUGGCGAUUGCUAUGACCAAACGGUUCACCAAGUUGAGAUCUUCAGAGACUGGUGUAAGGGCUUCACAGUGAUGUAGAACGAGUAUGGAGUUAGAGAUACU